This is a long non-coding RNA of Oncorhynchus gorbuscha (pink salmon), 803 nucleotides long. RefSeq lists it as uncharacterized. Lineage: Eukaryota; Metazoa; Chordata; Actinopteri; Salmoniformes; Salmonidae. The transcript has 3 exons. The record is from RefSeq and is a predicted model, not a curated record.
CUUUUCUCCCAGAAGAAAAUAAAACAUGUGUGUUGCUAAAGAAUCCUCUCUGCUCUCUUUCUAGGAGAGAGAGAAACAGGAAGACUGAGAGACAGAGACAGACUAACAUACACUGUGUGUGUGUGUGUUCAUUCCUCUGCUCUGUCCAAGAUGGCGACCCGUACUUCUACAUUGCCUGGUGGUGUGCUCUUGUACAGAUGGUCCCUCCAUGCUGUCAGUUCCCCUUUCCUCUCCGGAUAUUCCCAGCAUUCUACGGCCAGCGGAACGCAGCGCAGAGAGCAGCCGGGAACUCUGGGAACAGGAGCAGGAAGCUAGCACCGAUCCAGUCGUUAGACGGGGAGGAGAGAUUUAGGAGACGGCUGUCACUGUAAAUGGAGCAACAUCGUCCUCUGCUGGUUACUCAUACACUGGUCAUCAGAUCCCACCAUAAUACACAUUAAAAGAAAUACAGUAUAUUGUAUAUCUUUGGCUGAACAAUAACUUUCCCUAAUAUAUACCUUUAUAUUACAUAUAUAAAUGGGUGUAUCUUCUGCAUUCAGUUGGUGGCGGUUAACCAAACAUACUAUAAACUCAACAGCACAAAGUCAGGAUCAAGUUUACAUAAGACAUGAUGCCAAGCAGGUUCAUCCAUCAUUUUAUUGUGCUCUAUGGUAAUGUAUGAUAUCCAUAGUGUGUUACUGUUGAUUAACAUAUUGAUCUGAUCUGUGCUGUACGUUCUGUGGUUGAUCUGUGCUGUACGUUCUGUGGUUGAUCUGUGCUGUUCGUUCUGUGGUUGAUCUGUGCUGUACGUUCUGUGGUUGAUC